This 512-nucleotide ribosomal RNA is filed under the name uncultured bacterium. RNAcentral's name for it is "bacterial SSU rRNA". It matches the Rfam family "Bacterial small subunit ribosomal RNA", at positions 370 to 875 of the family's 1533-position model. The record is from RNAcentral.
AAUGGGCGCAAGCCUGAUCCAGCCAUGCCGCGUGUCUGAAGAAGGCCUUCGGGUUGUAAAGGACUUUUGUCAGGGAGGAAAUCCUAGUGGCUAAUAACUGCUGGGGAUGACAGUACCUGAAGAAUAAGCACCGGCUAACUACGUGCCAGCAGCCGCGGUAAUACGUAGGGUGCAAGCGUUAAUCGGAAUUACUGGGCGUAAAGCGUGCGCAGGCGGUUUUGUAAGACAGAGGUGAAAUCCCCGGGCUCAACCUGGGAACUGCCUUUGUGACUGCAAGGCUAGAGUACGGCAGAGGGGGAUGGAAUUCCGCGUGUAGCAGUGAAAUGCGUAGAUAUGCGGAGGAACACCGAUGGCGAAGGCAAUCCCCUGGGCCUGUACUGACGCUCAUGCACGAAAGCGUGGGGAGCAAACAGGAUUAGAUACCCUGGUAGUCCACGCCCUAAACGAUGUCAACUGGUUGUUGGGUCUUAACUGACUCAGUAACGAAGCUAACGCGUGAAGUUGACCGCCUG